GACGAACGCUGGCGGCGUGCUUAACACAUGCAAGUCGAACGGAAAGGCCCGGCUUUUGUGGGGUGCUCGAGUGGCCGACGGGUGAGUAACACGUGAGUAACCUGCAAUUGCCUUUGGGAUAACUUAAGGAAACUGGGGCUACUACCGGAUAGGAGCUACUGCUGCAGGGUGGGGGUGGGAAAGUUUCGGCGGUUGGGGAUGGACUCGCGGCUUAUCAGGUUGUUGGGGUGGUAGUGGCAUAGCAAGGCUUGGACGGGUAGCCGGCCUGAGAGGGUCAGCGGACCCGUUGGGACGGAGCUGCGGCCCGGACCCCUAUGGGAGGCAGCGGUGGAGAAUAUUAUAUUAGAGGCGGAAGCAUGAUGCAGCACAGCCGCGUCGGGGAUGUCGUCCUUCGGGUAGUAAACCGCUUUUGUCUUUCCCGAGGCGUGAGUGACGGUACUGGGUGAAGAAGCACCGGCUAACUCCGUG
RNAcentral lists this ribosomal RNA (468 nucleotides) under uncultured bacterium. Its description in RNAcentral is "partial 16S ribosomal RNA". It matches the Rfam family "Bacterial small subunit ribosomal RNA", at positions 28 to 507 of the family's 1533-position model. The record is from RNAcentral.